AGUCAAAAAUUAAUUUAUUAGGUAAAAUAAUAGUAAUAAGAAAAAUAUUUUUAUAAUAAAGAAUUUAAGUAAAUUUAAUUGAAUGGAGGAAAAAGAAAAUGACGAUAGUGAAAUAGUACUGAAAGGGAAAUUUGAAAUAGAAAUUAAAUAAUAAGUAUUAAUAGAAGUAAUUUUUAAAAUUUGUACCUUGUGUAUCAGGGAAAAUUAAAAUUAAUAAUAUAUUAGUUUUUAUCUCGGUGAAAAAGUGUCUAAUUAUAUUUGAUAAUUUAUAUGGUAAAAUAAUAUUUAAAAUGUAAUUAGUAGUGAAAUGUUGAUCGAAUUUUUAUAUCUAGUUGUUUUUGAAAUAAAUUUAAUUUAAUCUUUUCUUUUUAUUAAGGAUAGGUAAAGUAUAGGAGGGAAGAGCUUUUUAUACAAGAAUAAGAAAAUAGAAGAAGUUUAUAAAUAGUAAAUAUAAAUAGGCUUAGAGGUAGCCAAUUUUUUAAUGUGUUUUAACUAAUAUAUUUAUAAAGAUUUUUAAAUUCUCUAUUAAUAAAGUAGGAAGCUUAAGUAAUUAAUAUCUAUUUAUUUGUAAAAUUGGUUUUAUUAGUAGUAUUUUUUAUUUAUAAAUAAUACAUAAAAUAUGUAUAUAAUUUUAAAUAUAUGUUUGUUUUUAUUAAGGAAUUCGGCAAAAAAAGUUUCUGCCUGUUUAUCAAAAACAUGUCCUAUUGGAGUUUUAAUAGGUCUGGCCUGCCCACUGAGAAUUAAAGGGCCGCGGUAUUUUGACCGUGCGAAGGUAGCAUAAUCAUUAGUUUUUUAAUUGAAGGCUAGUAUGAAUGGUCGGACAAGAAAUAAGCUGUCUUUAUAAAAAUUAUUGAAUUUAACGUUUAAGUAAAAAGGCUUAAAUAAAUUAAGGGGACGAUAAGACCCUAUAAAGCUUUAUAAUUUUUUUAUUUUGUUAAGGAUAUAUUAUGGAAAUUAACUUAUUAGAGAAAUUAUUAUGUUGGGGCGACAAAAGUAAAAUUAAGUAUCUGCUUUAUUUUUUUAACAAUAAUUUUUGUAAAUAUUAAUUGAUCCUAAUUAAAGAUUAUAAGUUUAAGUUACUUUAGGGAUAACAGCGUAAUUUUUCCUGAGAGCUCAUAUCGAGGGGAAAGUUUGCGACCUCGAUGUUGAAUUAAAUUAUCUACUUAUGUGCAGCAGCUUAGAUAGAUGGUCUGUUCGACCUUUAAAAAUUUACAUGAUUUGAGUUCAAACCGGCGUAAGCCAGGUUGGUUUCUAUCUCUUAAUUAAGUGAGACUUUUUUAGUACGAAAGGAUUGGAAAGUUUAAAUAUUUUAUAAAUUAUAAUAUAAUAAAAUUAUUUAUGAAAUUGCUAAUAAUUUUGUGAAUUAUAAUAU
This 1372-nucleotide ribosomal RNA is filed under the name Austinogebia wuhsienweni. RNAcentral's name for it is "large subunit ribosomal RNA". The stretch from base 637 to 1372 matches the Rfam family "Archaeal large subunit ribosomal RNA", at positions 1423 to 2898 of the family's 2987-position model. The record is from RNAcentral. Lineage: Eukaryota; Metazoa; Arthropoda; Malacostraca; Decapoda; Upogebiidae.